GGCACAUUAGUUCAGUGGUUAGAACAUCACAUAAUGAUUAAUUAAAGGUAGUUAUUGUGAAGGUCACUGGUUCAAAUCCAGUAUGUGCUUC
Molecule: transfer RNA, 91 nt
Filed under: uncultured phage cr112_1
Lineage: Duplodnaviria; Heunggongvirae; Uroviricota; Caudoviricetes; Crassvirales; Steigviridae
Description: crAssphage cr112_1 tRNA-Ile
Rfam family: tRNA
About the family: Transfer RNA (tRNA) molecules are approximately 80 nucleotides in length.
Source: RNAcentral